Molecule: transfer RNA, 72 nt
Filed under: Ornithorhynchus anatinus (platypus)
Lineage: Eukaryota; Metazoa; Chordata; Mammalia; Monotremata; Ornithorhynchidae
Rfam family: tRNA
About the family: Transfer RNA (tRNA) molecules are approximately 80 nucleotides in length. Their secondary structure includes four short double-helical elements and three loops (D, anti-codon, and T loops).
Source: Rfam by way of RNAcentral
AGCAGCGUGGCUCAGUGGAGAGGGCACGGGCUUGGGAGUCAGGGGUCCUGGGUUCGAAUCCCGGCUCUGCCC